GGGGCCGAUUAGGAUUCGACGCCGGUAACAAAACUUGAGGGGCAUGCCGAGCUGGUAGCAGAACUCGUAAAUUCGCUGCUGCAAACUUAUAGUUGCCAACGACGACAACUACGCUCUAGCUGCUUAAUGCGGCUAGCAGUCGCUAGGGGAUGCCUGUAAACCCGAAACGACUGUCAGAUAGAACAGGAUCGCCGCCAAGUUCGCUGUAGACGUAACGGCUA
RNAcentral lists this transfer-messenger RNA (221 nucleotides) under Pseudomonas putida S12. RNAcentral's name for it is "transfer-messenger RNA Psmon_aerug". It matches the Rfam family "transfer-messenger RNA", at positions 1 to 235 of the family's 374-position model. From Rfam's summary of the family: Bacterial tmRNA, also known as 10Sa RNA or SsrA, is named for its dual tRNA and mRNA-like properties. The record is from RNAcentral. Lineage: Bacteria; Pseudomonadati; Pseudomonadota; Gammaproteobacteria; Pseudomonadales; Pseudomonadaceae.